This 529-nucleotide ribosomal RNA is filed under the name uncultured bacterium. Its description in RNAcentral is "bacterial SSU rRNA". It matches the Rfam family "Bacterial small subunit ribosomal RNA", at positions 355 to 896 of the family's 1533-position model. The record is from RNAcentral.
UGGGGAAUAUUGGACAAUGGACCAAGAGUCUGAUCCAGCAAUUCUGUGUGCACGAUGAAGUUUUUCGGAAUGUAAAGUGCUUUCAGUUGGGAAGAAAAAAAUGACGGUACCAACAGAAGAAGUGACGGCUAAAUACGUGCCAGCAGCCGCGGUAAUACGUAUGUCACGAGCGUUAUCCGGAUUUAUUGGGCGUAUAAAGCGCGUCUAGGUGGUUAUGUAAGUCUGAUGUGAAAAUGCAGGGCUCAACUCUGUAUUGCGUUGGAAACUGUAUAACUAGAGUACUGGAGAGGUAAGCGGAACUACAAGUGUAGAGGUGAAAUUCGUAGAUAUUUGUAGGAAUGCCGAUGGGGAAGCCAGCUUACUGGACAGAUACUGACGCUGAAGCGCGAAAGCGUGGGUAGCAAACAGGAUUAGAUACCCUGGNNNAUCCCACCCCCNAAAAAAAUGAUUACUAGGUGUUGGGGGUCGAACCUCAGCGCCCAAGCAAACGCGAUAAGUAAUCCGCCUGGGGAGUACGUACGCAAGUAUG